GGGUAUAGUUCAAUGGUAGAGCACCGGUCUCCAAAACCGUCGAUCUGGGUUCGAGUCCUAGUACC
This 65-nucleotide transfer RNA is filed under the name uncultured Phascolarctobacterium sp. It matches the Rfam family "tRNA". From Rfam's summary of the family: Transfer RNA (tRNA) molecules are approximately 80 nucleotides in length. Lineage: Bacteria; Bacillati; Bacillota; Negativicutes; Acidaminococcales; Acidaminococcaceae. The record is from RNAcentral.